CACAUAAAGGUAGGCGGGUAUUGAAUGCUGUCCGCAGAAGCUGUCUUUAGUGAGAAGGACGACGGGCGGACAGCUUGGAUCUCACUCCGGCUCUGACCACACUGAUGGGAUGAUGUGCGCUUCAGGACAUUGGCAUGCAGUUAGGACCUGCUGGUUCUCAGUGGCCGUUGAACUAAGUCCUGUACCCUUUACAAGGUCUGUUGUAGACAGAAUGGUGGCCUGAUCUGUCAGAGCUGUGGAGUGUGACAAUGGUGUUUGUGUCUGCUGGUAUCAAACGCCAUUAUCACACUAAAUAGCUAUGACGAGAAACGAGCGCACAGCACCAGAAAUGUCUGAGUUACGGCUCUGGAGCCCAUAAUGUUGAACACAUUAAGGCACCUCUUUAUUUAAUAUAGCACUUUCUAUGAUAAAUGCCAUACAAUUUGCUGUAUU
This is a long non-coding RNA of Polypterus senegalus (gray bichir), 432 nucleotides long. RefSeq lists it as uncharacterized. Lineage: Eukaryota; Metazoa; Chordata; Cladistia; Polypteriformes; Polypteridae. The transcript is spliced from 2 exons. The record is from RefSeq and is a predicted model, not a curated record.